GUGACUCUAUUCCAUUGUUUGAUGCUCUAACUCUUCACAUCUUCUAUAUCACAAGACAUACUUUGUACUACUCUUCACAUCUUCUCAUUAACGACAAAUACAUGAUUAUCAUCGCAACUACCAGUCAAGAGAAAUGAAUGGAAGAUGGGAAGUACCUGUCAGCAUCUCCCUUACUCCCAAUAUUAUGCUUCCACUCUCUGUUUCCUUCCCUUCUCCGGAUUCUUUUCAUCAAACUAACAGCAUGAAGGAGAAAAUCAACCAAGCAUACCAGUCAAGAGAAACAAAAUAUAAAAACAUGAAUAAACAUUAUCUCACUUCAUUGCAAAUCUGGG
This 332-nucleotide long non-coding RNA is filed under the name Triticum aestivum (bread wheat). RNAcentral's name for it is "long non-coding RNA (TAES_LNC027770)". Lineage: Eukaryota; Viridiplantae; Streptophyta; Magnoliopsida; Poales; Poaceae. The record is from RNAcentral.